Long non-coding RNA from Equus caballus (horse), 2798 nucleotides. Lineage: Eukaryota; Metazoa; Chordata; Mammalia; Perissodactyla; Equidae. The record is from Ensembl.
UUCUAUUUGAUUAGGCUUCUAUAAUAAAUUUUACUACAUAAUAAUAAAUGAGUACUUAAUAAUUCUUAAGUAAUUACUACAUAAUAAUUCUCCAAAAAGAAGAAAAUGGUAUAAAAAGCCUCCAAUAGCUCCACUUGCCUAAGGAUAAAUUCCAAAAUCCUUAGCAGGACAUUCAGGACCCCAAACACUGUAGCUCCAACCUGUCCUUCCAGCCUCAUCUCCUGCCACUGCCUGUUCUAGAACAUGCAGUAUAACCCCCAGAGCAAAGCCCUCACCCUCUCUCUCCACACGGUGCACAUCCUGCUGCCUCAGAGGUCAGCUGGUAUCAUCAGCCCAUGCAGGGCGCUCCUUUUCUGACAGAGAGAAAGAGCCGAGCCUUUGGGGUUGGGGAAGGUGUCAGUCACCCUGGCCCAUGCGGAGACCAGGAAAAAAGUAGAGCAGAGAGACUUCCUCCUAAAAGUGAAUUGAUUACUUCUCUGACCUUACUGGGUUCCAAAUUAAGUUUCUCUUAGUGUUUUCUCUUCAGUUGAUGUUGUCUCACAUGAGGCGAGAGAAUGAAUGAAUUUUUUCCCUUCUCUUUCUGGGCCUCCAGUUCAGCUGAGCCGUAAAACUUCGUCUCAGAUUUCUUGAACCCAUGAAAGAUGUUUGCAAAGUCUGAGACUGCCUUGCUUAGUAUUUGGCUGCCCUCAGAAUCCGUUCCAGAGACCAGGUGAAUGAAUGGUGAAUGGACUCCAGUGUUCUGGAGGGAAAUAGGGAAGCAGGGAAAUGGCUGAGCAUUAACGGUGCUCAAGCAGAAAAGUUAUGCUGUAAGAAAUAGUGCUAUGUUUCUUUGCAGCUCAGCCAUUUCUUUCCUUACAAUCUCUUUUUGCCUUUGGACAAAAAAGAUUUUUAAAAAACAAUUUUGAUUACAUUUAAACCCUGGGACAGACGACUAUUUCAAACAUAAAACAGUGGGCCUUUCACAGCCUCUGUGUUCUUUUACGGCCACCUGAACAAUAAGCCUUUCAGGUUUUCAGUGGGUGGGAAUGGGUUAGCCAAGCUCAAAACAGGCCUGACUGCACUUUGAGCAAAGAUCAAAUAUCCCAGUGGGGAGGCAUGUUUUUAUUUGAGAAGGUUCUCUCGGCCCUCAUGACAGCAACAGAUUCCUUCUUCGCUAAGAUCGUAGGCUCCUGACACGAGUGGCCCUCCUCUGAGGAUAACUGUGUCCUCCUACUGUUCUGCUAGAUUUUCAAAACAUUCAGCCCUGAGCAAAACUCGAAAAGAAGAAAAGAUCCUCUCAGUGCCAUCUUCCUUCAAAUUAGAGAAUAAACAGCCUGGAUACCAGGUCCCUCAUUUUUCCCCAACCAGCUCUGUAGUACCAGAAAUUCUAAGAUCUAAACUUAAUGCUUUUUUUUUUUUUUGAGGAAGAUCAGCCCUGAGCUAACAUCUGCCAAUCCUUCUCUUUUUGUUGAGGAAGACUGGCCCUGAGCUCACAUCCAUGCCCAUCUUCCUCUAUUUUAUACAUGGGAUUCCUACUACAGCAUGGCUUUUUGCCAAGUGGGGCCAUGUCCGCACCCAGGAUCCGAACCUGUGAACCCCGGGCUGCCAUGAAGUGGAACGUGCGAACUUAACCACUGCACCACCAGGCCAGCCCCUAAACUUAAAGCUUUGAUCUCAGUUAAAAAUCAAGAAGGAAUAACAUAUUCUUUUUAUUUUGUGAUACACAGCUUUCAUAUGAUUGGAUGACAUGUAAAGCAUUAAGUUGUGUCAAUUGUAAUAAUUUGAGACAUCAGCAAGAUUUUUCAUGCCUCUCUCCUGGAGAUUAUCUCUGGAUCAGAUGCUAGAUCUUGACUUCUGUUAUCCUGGAGUGAGUCAAAAGAAAUUUGAAAUGGAGAGGAGACCAAAAUAACAGGGCCUUCAAUUCAGCCCAGAGACUAGGGGCAGAAACAUGCAACGGAGCUCUGAAAUGGACUGUGACUGGCUUAGACCUGAAGUGACAAAGACCCAGUCAGUGUGCCCAGGUGGGGCCUGGAGAAGGAGGACGGGGAAGGAACGGGCCAGCCUGCACCUUUAUCAUUUUCCUUGAUCCUGUGCCCCAGCUGAGGAACUCCCCAGCCUGUGCCGAGAAUACGUUCCUCGAGGACCACUUUUCAAACAGCCCUGUAGAGGGCGCGGUUUCCUCGUCCCAGAGGCUUCCAGGGUUCAGGCAGGCUCUGAAGGCUUUUCCAUCCGUCUGAUAAUCUCUUCGAAGCACUGAGGAAGCACCGUGGGGAGUAUCAAGAAGCACAGGAGGGCCUCCUCGGACUGUGAGAAACUCCGGGCAUAGUUCUAGGGAAGAAGACAAAGACAUGGACCUGUUGCAGUGGUUCCAAGACAUAUUCAAGUUCACGGCCAAGGCAGCCUGCAGAUUCUGGAUGCUUAGGAAUUCAGAAGAGGUCUGGACUGGUCCCAACAGUCUCUAAGGAAGGUGUCAAAGAGGUGAUGGCAUUGGGAGCAGACCUUAAUGGAUGAGAUGAUUUGGGGACUAACGCCAAGACAAGCAGAUGCAGAAGAUGGCAAGGUCUUGUUAAAGCCUCUUGUUUUUAAAUUAAAAUUAAAAUUCAACAUAUUUGAAUUGUUUACUUUUAAAUGGCUAAUUUUUAUUAUGUGACUUUUGCCUCAAUUAAAAACUACAUGAGAUAGCUAUAUAUGUGUGUGUGUAUAUAUAUUAAAUUUUCAAUUUAUUUAUUGUUGGAAUAGGUAAUAAGUCUCAUGGUUCACAAUCCAAAGGGAAAAAAGAGUGCAUAGUAAAAACUCUUCUUUCAAUCUUUCUUCCACCC